AUUGAACGCUGGCGGCAUGCCUUACACAUGCAAGUCGAACGGCAGCGGACCUUCGGGUGCCGGCGAGUGGCGAACGGGUGAGUAAUAUAUCGGAACGUACCUUUCAGUGGGGGAUAACGUAGCGAAAGUUACGCUAAUACCGCAUAUUCUGUGAGCAGGAAAGCAGGGGAUCGCAAGACCUUGCGCUGAUUGAGCGGCCGAUAUCAGAUUAGCUAGUUGGUGAGGUAAAGGCUCACCAAGGCGACGAUCUGUAGCGGGUCUGAGAGGAUGAUCCGCCACACUGGAACUGAGACACGGUCCAGACUCCUACGGGAGGCAGCAGUGGGGAAUAUUGGACAAUGGGCGCAAGCCUGAUCCAGCAAUGCCGCGUGUGUGAAGAAGGCCUGCGGGUUGUAAAGCACUUUUGUUCGGGAAGAAAUCAUGUCGGUUAAUACCCGAUGUGGAUGACGGUACCGAAAGAAUAAGCACCGGCUAACUUCG
This 480-nucleotide ribosomal RNA is filed under the name uncultured bacterium. RNAcentral's name for it is "bacterial SSU rRNA". It matches the Rfam family "Bacterial small subunit ribosomal RNA", at positions 30 to 505 of the family's 1533-position model. The record is from RNAcentral.